RNAcentral lists this ribosomal RNA (1560 nucleotides) under Amirthalingamia macracantha. RNAcentral's name for it is "partial large subunit ribosomal RNA". It matches the Rfam family "Eukaryotic large subunit ribosomal RNA", at positions 56 to 938 of the family's 3401-position model. The record is from RNAcentral. Lineage: Eukaryota; Metazoa; Platyhelminthes; Cestoda; Cyclophyllidea; Gryporhynchidae.
AAGAACUAACCAGGAUUCCCUCAGUAACGGCGAGUGAAGAGGGAAGAGCCCAGCACCGAAGCCUGCGGCAGGUUUGCUGUUAGGCAAUGUGGUGUGUGGGUCGACUCGCGGGGCCGUUGCUCCACUCGAAGUCCAGCAUUGAGUAUGGUUAUCCCUGGAUUUGGCCCAUAGAGGGUGAGAGGCCCGUACGGGUGGAGGUUCAGACAUGUGAGACGGUUCACCAGGUCGACCUCAGAGUCGGGUUGUUUGAGAUUGCAGCCCAAAGAGGGUGGUAAACUCCAUCCAAGGCUAAAUACUGGCACGAGUCCGAUAGCGAACAAGUACCGUGAGGGAAAGUUGAAAAGUACUCUGAAGAGAGAGUAAACAGUACGUGAAGCCGCAUGCAGGUAAACGGGUGGCGUCAAACUGCGAGCCCAGAGGAUUCAGCUGAUUGGGUUGUAGUGUGCGUGCUUGGUACGCCAAAAGGUCCAGAGUAAAACGCGCACGCGGCGGUCCUCUCCUCUGUUAGGAGGGGGAUGGCGGUCGGGUCAAACCGGGUGUCAUUAUGCGGGCCGGAAUGGGUUGCCGGUGCAUGCCGCACGUCUGUUGGACCGCCCAGUCAGUGCACUUUCUCUGUGGCGAACACCACGACCGGUGGGAUUGCCAGUCUGCUAUGGUCAAGUCGUGUUUGUCUGAUUUUUCAGCUGCCGCUAUCACCUCGUGUGGUGGUGGUAGUUGAGUCAGAUGGAUGCGGUCGCAGGUGGAUCGGAUGGACGGCGUAGUGGUGCCUCGGUGCUGCUGCGUGUUAUCGUACACCCACCACUGUAAGCGAGUUUGGCGGACAUGCUGUAGCCGUGUCUGCCAUCUCGGCAGGCCAUAGUGGUGAAAGCGACUGUGCAAGGCAUCGGGGUUGUCCACCUCAUUCAAAUAUGGUAUUCGGCACGCACGUUACAUGGUGCUAUGGAUCAGGGCGCGCCGCUGCCUGUGGGUGCUGGACCUGACUGCUCGUGUUGCCCGCACAAAGUGGGUCCGACGGUGGUUGUCAGCACUUUGCAGUGUGCAGUGUAUUAUUAGCGUUGCCUUGGGUGCAUGUGAUACCGGGGGUGAAAUAGUCAGUGGUGCUGUGGUAGACGAGCUACCCGACCCGUCUUGAAACACGGACCAAGGAGUUUAACAUGUGUGCGAGUCAAAGGGUCCUACGAAACCCCGAGGCGCAGUGAAAGUGAAGUUCGUGUCGCACUCUCGCACACAUACGCGGUGUGACACGAUGCGGUGAGAUCCUGCUGUUUAUCGCUGCAAAUGCUGGGUGCCUUGUGCCACCAGGCUGAGGGCAGUGGGCGCAUCACCGGCCCGUCCCAUGAUGUGGUCAUAGGUGUGUGUGGCGGCAUGCGUUUACGCGUGUGUCGUCGCGUCAGCCUGUGCGUCAUCGGGGCGGAGCAUGAGCACACACGUUGAGACCCGAAAGAUGGUGAACUAUGCUUGCGUAGGUUGAAGCCAGAGGAAACUCUGGUGGAGGACCGUAGCGAUUCUGACGUGCAAAUCGAUCGUCAAACGUGAGCAUAGGGGCGAAAGACUAAUCGA